CACCAUCAGGAUGAUUGAGGGCCAGAGGAAGAAAGCCCCUGUGGGAAGUGAGCAGUUGGAGGCAAGAGAGGAGGCUGCUGAGUACAGACCCACAGGUAUACAGUCAUUGGUGGUCCAGAAUCAGUCCUUAACAGUGCAUCCAAGAAAGGGUGUCUUCAAUGAGCCUUGUCUCCACAAUCUGUAGAUCUUCUGGUGAAAGCAAGGUAAAUAUGGGCCUGAAUUAAGUACCCAAGGCUGAAAGUGGCUGGAUCACCUGAAAACCAGGGUGAAGACAGAGCUGGUUAGACUGCAGGGAUUGAGGUACAUAUUUCUCCUCAACACUUACUUCUCCCACUCGAGAAUCAAGUUCUUAGUACUUUGGAAAGCUACACUCUAUGAGCAGAAGGGCUGGGAAGAACAGUUAGCAAGAGGAGCUGGCUUCCCCUGAUGUCCACUUUGGGUGAAUGGGCAUUGUCCCAUGUGAACA
This is a long non-coding RNA of Peromyscus californicus insignis, 466 nucleotides long. RefSeq lists it as uncharacterized. The transcript is spliced from 3 exons. NCBI's taxonomy places the organism in Eukaryota, Metazoa, Chordata, Mammalia, Rodentia, Cricetidae. The record is from RefSeq and is a predicted model, not a curated record.